CCGCGUGUGUGAUGAAGGUCUUCGGAUUGUAAAGCACUGUCAACGAGGACGAAUAAAAUGACGGUACUCGUAGAGGAAGCACCGGCUAAAUACGUGCCAGCAGCCGCGGUAAUACGUAUGGUGCAAGCGUUAUUCGGAUUUAUUGGGCGUAAAGGGUCCGUAGGUGGUUUAUUAAGUCAGAUGUGAAAUCCUGAGGCUCAACCUCAGAACUGCAUUUGAAACUGAUAAACUAGAGUAUUGGAGAGGUAAGUGGAAUUUCAGGUGUAGCGGUGGAAUGCGUAGAUAUCUGAAGGAACACCAAAAGCGAAGGCAGCUUACUGGACAAUCACUGACACUGAGGGACGAAGGCGUGGGUAGCGAAAAGGAUUAGAUACCCUUGUAGUCCACGCAGUAAACGUUGUAUACUAGUUGUGGGGGGAAUUAGCCCCCUCCGUGACUGAGCUAACGCAUUAAGUAUACCGCCUGGGGACUACGGCCGCAAGGCUAAAACUCAAAGGAAUUGACGGGGACCGCACAAGCGGUGGAGCAUGUGGCUUAAUUCGAGGCAACGCGAAGAACCUUACCUGGUCUUGACAUAUUUACGAUCGCUGUAGAAAUACAGUUUCCCUUCGGGGCAUUUAUACAGGUGCUGCAUGGCUGUCGUCAGCUCGUGCUGUGAAGUGUUCGGUUAAGUCCGGCAACGAGCGCAACCCACGUCAUUAUUUGCCAUCAGGUUAUGCUGGGAACUAUAAUGAGACUGCCCGUGUUAAACGGGAGGAAGGCGUGGACGACGUCAAGUCAGUAUGGCCCUUAUGACCAGGGCUGCACACGUG
This 812-nucleotide ribosomal RNA is filed under the name uncultured bacterium. RNAcentral describes it as "bacterial SSU rRNA". It matches the Rfam family "Bacterial small subunit ribosomal RNA", at positions 397 to 1224 of the family's 1533-position model. The record is from RNAcentral.